This 3129-nucleotide non-coding RNA is filed under the name Cryptosporidium parvum. Lineage: Eukaryota; Apicomplexa; Conoidasida; Eucoccidiorida; Cryptosporidiidae. The record is from RNAcentral.
AAACCAGACAAAACUGAAGAAUUAAGAUGUUUUUUUUUAAAUAAAAUUUUUAUUAUUGAAAAAAGUGAGGAAAUUGAAUGAAAUAAGCUAAGGAAGACUAUUUAAUCUUUAAUUAGCAAGUUUGAAAUCGUAUUUAAGCAUGAUUUCAUUUUCUGGAUUAUUUGAAUUGCCAUUUUGAGCGUUUAAUUCAACUAAAAUCAUUGAGUUAUUGGAAAUAAUGGAUUUAAUAAAUGAUAUGGCAGAAUUUAAACUGGUACUUUUGAUAAUUCUGUUUAUCUGUUCUUUUUCGUUAGAAAUUCUACUCGUGUUUUGAUUCGAAGGAGAAAAGCUUUCUGACUCAAAAUAUUCGACAAUUCUGCUAAAAAGAUAGGAAGAUUGGGCUACAAUUUGAGUUUGAGAGAGUAAUAAUUGGAGGAUGACUUCAGUUUUGAUUUGUUUAAAAUUGAGACUCAAAGACUGAUCAAUCAAGUGGUUUGACUUGUCAUAGGGUUUAUUAUCUUGAUUGUAGUUGAAUUCAGUGAAUUCGGAAUUUUCAAUAAAUGAAAGGAAGUCUAAUAGUAAAAUUGAAGUCGUUAUGUCUUUACUAGAGAAGACUUUAUUAUCAGAAACUUCAAGAAUCAACUGUAGCCCAAGUUUUUUAAGGAAAGGAGAAGGUAUCACGAGUAAGUUAAUAUUCUUUCUUUGAGAUUUAUCAACCAAAAGUGAAGUUGGGAGAUACAUAUUCUUAAAAGUAAAUUGAAUGAGACUAACAAGAAGUAUUAACAUUGACUUUUGUUGGAUAUCAUUUUUAGAGGCUGAAAUCCAAAGAGUGGAAAUUAACAUUUCAAAAUUUUCAUUUUUAUUUGAUUGGUUAUUUUUGUUCUCCUUAUUGGCAUAAAAUAAUAAUCUUGUUCUUGAUGAAUCAAUUUCUUCUAAUAAAGGAUGGGGAAAUUUAAUUUCUCCGGAAGUAUUCUUCGUGUAAAGUGAAUCAGGAAAGUAUUUAAAGUCAUUAAAGCAUGUAUUUGAAAUAAGGGACUCUUUUACAAUAUCAAAACUAACAUUUGGUUCAUCAAUAUGAGUAAUUAAUCCAAUUACAUUGAUAUAUGGAUUUUUAAUAUCAAGUUUUUUGUCCAAAAGAAUAGUUAUUUCAUCACUUUCUAACUCUUUUAUCUCAGAAAGCACUUCUUCAUGCGUAAAUAUCUCAGGAAGAAACAAUUGCUUGAUCUUAUCAGUACAAUAAUUGGUUGCACUAUUCGCUAAUAUUGAUUGAUUAAUUUCCUUAAUUGCAUCCACUUUAACCCUUUCAGAGAGUUCUUUCGAUAUAUUCAGCAUAGAGACAGUUCGAAUAGAUUUAAGAACCUCUUUCAAGUAUUCUGGAAACAUGGGCGAUGGAGAUGUUACUUGUAAUUGUACACAAUUUGUCGAUAAAGCUGUGCCAAAAUGAUGGCAAGGCUGGAAGUUAAUGGUUGCACCAAUUUUUCUAUAUGAAUUAAAGUUCAGAGAUAAGGUCGUUGUUAUCCAUAUAGCAAAGAUAAUUCUUGAAAUAAAGGAAGCAAGUAUCGAAUUUUUUGUUAGAUUUCCUUGUUUUCCUUUAUUUAAUAAUAGCUUGGAGUAAUCAAUACUAUCAUACCAUCUAAUAAUAGCAGAAGAUAAAGAGCUUUGAAGAAUUUCACUGGAUUUAUCUGGAUAAUUGAUCUGAGAGUAGUAAAUUAAGAAUUUAUUAUUCUCAUCUUGUGAUAUGAUUUUCGGUUCUGAAAUAUAAGGAGUUGUGCCUUGUAUUGGAUUAUCAUCUUCAAUUUGGUUUGAAAAAGAGCUCCAUUCAAAUUCUCCAUCUAAAAAAGUUAAUUCUGAAUUCUUCAAAAGAUGAUGCGGAGAAAUCAGGAAGUCAUAUUCAUCUUUUAUUUCGUUCUUAAGUAUUACUUGUCUUAAUGGAUCCAUUUUGAUGACAUAUUUCUUCAAGUUUUCAGGAUCUUUCAGUAAAUUGAGGAAGUUCGGCUCAAAUUUGAGCUCAAAAUAAUUAAUUGUAGGUGGGUCUGGCAAUAGAAGCUUGAGCUUUUUGAAAUUAUACUCAUUAUUAUUAUUGAAAAAGGCUUUUGAAGUAAUAAAAAUAAUAAAAUUUGAAGGUUUGAGUGCAUUUUCAAGAGUGAAUUUUACAUAUUUCAAAAUUACUUUAAUUUUUGAAUAAAAACGGUUAUUACCAACCAGAAUUUCGCUUGGAUUAUGCGAUUUUAAGUUUUGUAUGGCAAUUUCUGUGGUUUCAAAAUUACGAUCAAAGUAAUCAAUAUAGUUUUCUCUUUCACUAUUCAUUUGGUAAUUUGAGUUUGAAAUGUAGUUUUCAAUUUGGAGUAUAUCACAUAUGGCAAGAAAUGGUCGAUUGGUUUCUUUAUUCUCUAAAAUAUCUUUUUUUGUGGAUUUAAUAUCUAAGUUAUUUAAGCUAUCUUCAAUUUGUUUUAUUAAUGAAUUAAAGUAAGCAAAUAUGGAUUGAACAAUAAAUUGAAUUAAUGGUGAUUUGGGGUCAAUUUCAGAUUCAAACUUUUCUGAAAGUUUAAUAAUAACAGAAUAUAUAGUAAAUCCAAGCUUUUGUGAUGAGUGAGCUGCAAAGUAUACUUCUCCACUACUAACUGAUUUAAUAAGUUUUCUUUUAUUCAAAAAAUUCACAAGACUUCCAGAUUCUAAUAAAUAAGAAAUAACUUUUAGUGGUUUUGAAUUUGAUGACGAAAGAGAUGAAUAGAAAGCAGGAAUAAUCCAUUGAAUUUCAAUCUCUCCAUUACUAUUUAUGGAGUCAUGAAUUGGAGAAUUUACUAUUAUUGAAGGUUUCAAAUCUGCUACUGCAACAGGAGGUAGCUCAGAAUAAUUAUUAUUUUGGUUCUUAUUAUUCUUAGAUUUUGAUUGCUUAAAGAGGGAUUUAUUAUCUCCUAUGGUUUUAUUGGUGUUAUCUUUAAUUUUCUCAUUUUCUUGCAAAAUUGGAAUAUUAAAAUCAUUCAAUAUUUUAAAAAGUUUUUCAUUGGAAAUGUUUGAAUGGAAAGCAACAAUUACUGGUUUAUUGCUGAUAAUUCGAUUAUAAGCUUGCAUUAUUUCUACCUCCAAAUUCCCUUCUUUAAUUAAAGAUAAUACUGUGGAUUCUGAACCAAUUGACCACAAUUUAAGUAU